GACGAACGCUGGCGGCGUGCUUAACACAUGCAAGUCGAACGGAAAGGACCUGAUUUUGUGGGGUGCUCGAGUGGCGAACGGGUGAGUAACACGUGAGUAACCUGCCCUUGACUUUGGGAUAACUUCAGGAAACUGGGGCUAAUACCGGAUAGGAGCUCCUGCUGCAUGGUGGGGGUUGGAAAGUUUCGGCGGUUGGGGAUGGACUCGCGGCUUAGCAGCUUGUUGGUGGGGUAGUGGCUUACCAAGGCUUUGACGGGUAGCCGGCCUGAGAGGGUGACCGGCCACAUUGGGACUGAGAUACGGCCCAGACUCCUACGGGAGGCAGCAGUGGGGAAUAUUGCACAAUGGGCGGAAGCCUGAUGCAGCAACGCCGCGUGCGGGAUGACGGCCUUCGGGUUGUAAACCGCUUUCGCCUGUGACGAAGCGUGAGUGACGGUAAUGGGUAAAGAAGCACCGGCUAACUACGUG
RNAcentral lists this ribosomal RNA (468 nucleotides) under uncultured bacterium. RNAcentral describes it as "partial 16S ribosomal RNA". It matches the Rfam family "Bacterial small subunit ribosomal RNA", at positions 28 to 507 of the family's 1533-position model. The record is from RNAcentral.